GCGUCGUCAAAUUUGGCCUUAUAGAUUCUUCUUAAAUAUAUCCCAUCUUCUCUAGCUCUCCAAUCCCAUAAGCCAGAAUUUUUAAAUGCUCUAAAGCUCUGACUGUGACUAAAUCCAGGUCCUUGUUUUAAGGUACACAUAAAACGCGUCGUACCAAAUAAAUUAUGAAAGAAAUAAUCUGUAAAUUGUCCUCCAUUUGGUAUUAUUGUUGGACCAAGUAC
Arabidopsis thaliana (thale cress) is the source of this 221-nucleotide long non-coding RNA. RefSeq annotates it as other RNA. Lineage: Eukaryota; Viridiplantae; Streptophyta; Magnoliopsida; Brassicales; Brassicaceae. The transcript has a single exon. The record is from RefSeq.